UCUUUCUUUGCUGGCGACCGGCGCACGGGUGAGUAACACGUAUCCAACCUGCCCUUUACUCGGGGAUAGCCUUUCGAAAGAAAGAUUAAUACCCGAUAGUAUAAUGAUUCCGCAUGGUUUCAUUAUUAAAGGAUUCCGGUAAAGGAUGGGGAUGCGUUCCAUUAGGUUGUUGGUGAGGUAACGGCCCACCAAGCCUUCGAUGGAUAGGGGUUCUGAGAGGAAGGUCCCCCACAUUGGAACUGAGACAUGGUCCAA
This 255-nucleotide ribosomal RNA is filed under the name uncultured bacterium. RNAcentral's name for it is "partial 16S ribosomal RNA". It matches the Rfam family "Bacterial small subunit ribosomal RNA", at positions 78 to 334 of the family's 1533-position model. The record is from RNAcentral.